CGGGGUGAGUAAUGUCUGGGAAACUGCCCGAUGGAGGGGGAUAACUACUGGAAACGGUAGCUAAUACCGCAUAACGUCGCAAGACCAAAGAGGGGGACCUUAGGGCCUCUUGCCAUCGGAUGUGCCCAGAUGGGAUUAGCUAGUAGGUGGGGUAAUGGCUCACCUAGGCGACGAUCCCUAGCUGGUCUGAGAGGAUGAUCAGCCACACUGGAACUGAGACACGGUCCAG
This 229-nucleotide ribosomal RNA is filed under the name uncultured bacterium. Its description in RNAcentral is "partial 16S ribosomal RNA". It matches the Rfam family "Bacterial small subunit ribosomal RNA", at positions 104 to 334 of the family's 1533-position model. The record is from RNAcentral.